GGCCCGGGAUGAGCGCCGGCAUGUAUUAUCUGAGCGGAGCUGAUGUCUCUCACCGCUUUAGCUCUAGAAUUACUCUGAGGCCCG
Molecule: small nucleolar RNA, 84 nt
Filed under: Catharus ustulatus (Swainson's thrush)
Lineage: Eukaryota; Metazoa; Chordata; Aves; Passeriformes; Turdidae
Description: Small nucleolar RNA SNORD45 (ENSCUSG00005008543.1, ENSCUSG00005008565.1)
Rfam family: Small nucleolar RNA SNORD45
About the family: U45 belongs to the C/D class of snoRNA which contain the C (UGAUGA) and D (CUGA) box motifs. Most of the members of the box C/D family function in directing site-specific 2'-O-methylation of substrate RNAs.
Source: Rfam by way of RNAcentral